Haliotis rubra (blacklip abalone) is the source of this 151-nucleotide long non-coding RNA. RefSeq lists it as uncharacterized. The record is from RefSeq and is a predicted model, not a curated record. The transcript has 3 exons. NCBI's taxonomy places the organism in Eukaryota, Metazoa, Mollusca, Gastropoda, Lepetellida, Haliotidae.
CUGUUUUAUCAUGGAUGGAUUAUAUGAUAGCGAAUAGGUCAAUGGUCUAUAUCACAAUAAAACUGAGAUAUAAUACACUGUGCUCUCAUGGGGCGGUGGGCUAGCCUAGUGGUUAAUGCGUUCGCUCGUCACGCCAAAGACCCGGGUUCGA